GUGAUUUUUUCAGCCGCCGCCCAGGCUUCUCUGUUUACACGCACGUCUGCUCUCUCUUCUUCCUCCCUUGCCGCGCUCUCUCUCCAGUGCCCAUCUCUCUCUCGCAGAGCUCCCUGGCGAGCGCCCCUGCAUCCUCUCUCGCCGGUGACAGCUCCUGCUCGUGCCCAAUUUUUGGUGGCGAGUCCCUCCCAUCCCUCUCGCCGCGCGCCCAAGCUCCCUCUGCCCGUCUCCCUGCGCGCGCGCCCGGUGUUUCUCCCUGGCGCUCGUCCAAGUCACCGCCAUCGAAGCUCCCAGCGCUCGCCCAGUUGUGGUCUCCAGCGCCGGCCAGAGCUCCCCUGCUCCCAUGGCUGCUUGCCCAGCCGCUCCUCUCUCCUCCCUCCACUCCCACCCCUCUACUCGCGACGCAUAGUCGGCCUGCUCCCAUGGCGCGACUGCUCCCAUGCCGCGCCCUAGCCCCUGCUCCUCGUUCUGCUCUGCGCUACGUGGAGCUUCUUCCUGCGCGCGCCGGGCCGCCGGCCGCCAGGUCGUCUUCAACCUCCAGCCGUGGAGCUCCUGCGCAUUGCCGGUUACCUUCCCUCGAGUUCUCCCUGCCAUGGCGUGCUCUGCUCCCUGCUCAGCGUCCCUCUCUGCUCGCCGGCGAUGCCCCUGCUCGAGCUCGCCGCACCCCGGGUUGCCUGCUCCAGCCGCGGUCCCCCAGCUCCCUUCUCUGCUCCCAUGGCGCGCCCAUCUCCCUCUCAUCUCCUCUGUUCUGUGCACGCGCGUUCUCUCUACGCCUUGCCGAUGUCCUGCGCGGCUCCCUGCUGUGCUCGCCCUUGGUGCUGGCCGCGUGCUCCUCGUCCGGCUCGGCCGCGACCUCGCCGGCGUUCCUCCCUCUCUGCUCGCUACGCGCGCGAAAUUUCCCUGCUCGCUAGCGCUUUGUCCUGCUCCGCUGCGCCGUGAUGUUUCCCUGCGCGUCCGGCAAGUCGCGCCCUGGCCACGUCGAGUUCUCUGCUCUAGCUCGCUGAGCUUUCCCUUUGUCUGGCGUUUCUCCCAGCCACCGCGCGUGUGAUUUACUGUUUAGUUGUCGUCACGCCCAGCCAGGAUUCCAGCGUCCUUUCGUGCGCGGGUUUUCUCUCUUCGCGUUGAUGUGCAAACGCCUUCGUGCUCGCAUCCUUUGGGCCCGUUUCGCCUUCGCGCGACACCGGCUGUGAGUUGAAUUAAAUUUCACCGAGUUACUCGCAUUAAGUCCGAUCGGUGUCGAGAGUUUGUCACAUGGUGUGUGGCGUGAAGAUAUAGAAGGAAAUGUCAUGGCCGGUUAAGGAGAAAUUUGUUGAAUGUUGGAUGGUGGUGUGCGUGAAGUUCGUAUAGUACCUAUCAAGAACUCGACAAAUUGCCUAGAUCAGAAAAUCAUUACCGAUCUCGUGGAUUCGAGUCAGAUAUUAGAACGGUACGUGAAUUAACCACGUGAUGUGGAGAACCAGAACUGAGUCGACCACAAGAUAUCGCUACGCGUGAGCUUCUCCAGAAGAUGAAGUUGAUGAACUAAUCUGAAGAUGGACAGACGGAGCAAGUAUCGGAACAAAAGCUGAUCGCCAAGUGGAUGCCAUCUAACAAACACUAACAUAGUGUUUAUUCCAGGUGCUGAGUCACUUUGAUUGUGAUUGGUGCUAAGCGCCGAUGGGCACGGCCUUCUUAAAAGUCUAAGUACUUCUUCUAUACUUCUUAUUGAGGAUGGUCACUUAAGCUAGCAUAUAUUUCAAAACUACAAAUAAUUUAUAACGGUUCAAAGUUAUUCCUUUGAAUCACUUUUGUAUUCACUCUAAUCAUGUACAUCGUAAAACUUGAUGUAACUUGUAAAAUUUGGUAAUAAGAUUUCCGC
RNAcentral lists this unclassified non-coding RNA (1858 nucleotides) under Zea mays. Its description in RNAcentral is "misc RNA Zm00001eb090280". Lineage: Eukaryota; Viridiplantae; Streptophyta; Magnoliopsida; Poales; Poaceae. The record is from RNAcentral.